RNAcentral lists this ribosomal RNA (301 nucleotides) under uncultured bacterium. RNAcentral describes it as "partial 16S ribosomal RNA". It matches the Rfam family "Bacterial small subunit ribosomal RNA", at positions 509 to 807 of the family's 1533-position model. The record is from RNAcentral.
CAGUAGCCGCGGGAAUACGAAGGGUGCAAGCGUUACUCGGAAUUACUGGGCGUAAAGCGUGCGUAGGUGGUGGUUUAAGUCCGUUGUGAAAGCCCUGGGCUCAACCUGGGAAUUGCAGUGGAUACUGGGUCACUAGAGUGUGGUAGAGGAUAGUGGAAUUUCCGGUGUAGCAGUGAAAUGCGUAGAGAUCGGAAGGAACAUCUGUGGCGAAGGCGACUAUCUGGGCCAACACUGACACUGGGGCACGAAAGCGUGGGGAGCAAACAGGAUUAGAUACCCCAGUAGUCCCUGUCUCUUAUAC